GUGCCAGCAGCCGCGGUAAUACGUAGGUGGCAAGCGUUGUCCGGAUUUAUUGGGCGUAAAGCGAGCGCAGGCGGUUUCUUAAGUCUGAUGUGAAAGCCCCCGGCUCAACCGGGGAGGGUCAUUGGAAACUGGGAGACUUGAGUGCAGAAGAGGAGAGUGGAAUUCCAUGUGUAGCGGUGAAAUGCGUAGGUAUAUGGAAGAACACCAGUGGCGAAGGCGGCUGUCUGGUCUGUAACUGACGCUGAGGCUCGAAAGCAUGGGUAGCGAACAGGAUUAGAUACCCUGGUAGUCC
Molecule: ribosomal RNA, 292 nt
Filed under: uncultured microorganism
Description: partial 16S ribosomal RNA
Rfam family: Bacterial small subunit ribosomal RNA
Source: RNAcentral